Long non-coding RNA from Mytilus californianus (California mussel), 5378 nucleotides. RefSeq lists it as uncharacterized. The transcript is spliced from 3 exons. NCBI's taxonomy places the organism in Eukaryota, Metazoa, Mollusca, Bivalvia, Mytilida, Mytilidae. The record is from RefSeq and is a predicted model, not a curated record.
CCAUUCAUAAAAAUCAUGGCCGAUAAAACAAACACUUCAUCGAGUUCUCUCAACAAUUUCUCGACGUAUGCACAUUCCCUGUCAGUUGAAGCAAAGCAGAGAUAUUCCACAAAGUUUCUCAAAAAUGGAGUUCAGACCGAAGCACUUGGCCCGACCUCACCUUUGGCUAUAUUUACCUUUCCUUGAUUGACACGCCUUCCAUCUACACAAAAGAGUCAACGAAAGCAUACAAAUCGUUAGAUGCAUACAAUUACGUAGUCAGUGAACAUGUACAAGUGGUGUUUUCCCACCAAGUGGACGACGACUGUCCAUUCAUGGUCCUCAAGACAAAGGUCACACCGUCACAGACAGCUAGAAAUAAACCACAUAAACCAUGGGUGUAUUUGGAAAAGAGCAGCGGGACAGUAUACUGUGCUCACUGUACCUGUAUGGCAGGUAUGUAUACUGUACGACUCGAUUUUGACCCAGAGUUCUAAUGUUCUUAUAUAUAUGUAAAUUGAGGUAAAUUAUAUGGCCUUCCAAAUACCGUUUAGAUUUCUAACAUCACUGAAGAGACAUUAAUUGUUGAAAUCCGGAUAUGGUGUACAAAUUUUUGCACCUCAUGUUUGCGGUAUACCAUCUUUUCCGCAAUUUUGUUGUUUUCUGUUUGGUAUAAAAUUAAUAAUUAAGAUCCAUUUUGUUACAUCUUGUGAUACGUUUAUUUGGCAAUCGCCAUGGCAGUCAGCAGGGUUUAAGAACAUCAGUUUUUCGACCUGUUAGUCAAAUGCGUUUUGUUAAAAUAUACUUUUUCACUUUUUGGUCUUUUGGAAAAUGUUGUUUGUGCUGUAUUUAGACCCCUCUAUCAAGAAAUUUGUUUUGCAUGCACACGUAUAAAAAUUGCUGUUUUUAUCCAACGCAAUCAUAUGUUUGAACGCUGUUUUCAAUUUAGACUUGUAUAUAUAUAUAAGAACAUCUGAACCAGUGACAACUCAACGACAGAUUUUAUCAAUCGGAUCACCAGUGAUAUAUGGUGAUACAAGGCUGAAAACACAUUCUGUAUAUAUAAUUCGUCUAAAUAUCAGCCCAACAAUGUUAGAUCUGCAAAUUUGCGGAAGCAAAUAUUUUGUUCUUCCCUGGCCGGGAUUCGAACUCAUGCUACUGAGAUAUCGUGGCACCAAAUCGCCUUGCACUAUGCCCGGCGCGCUAGACCACCCGUCCACCUAGGCUCGAUAAAAAAUCAAGCUUCCGGUGGCCGGGUGUUACCUUUCCUCGUCAGUUUUUAUCUAGCGUCGUAACACAGUACAUGAUAUAUAAGGCAUGAAGAUGGAAUAUUACAUAUAAAGUGCCUAGAAAAUCAACCUUACGAUGUUAGAGUAUAUCUGAUUCUUUACUUCCUCCCCAAGCGGGGCUUGAACCUGCACUUUAUUUCUCUCUUCUACGACAACACCGCCUAGCAUUGCGUAGACGCCUUAUCCCCUACUCUAACUAUAGCUGAUAAAAAUCAGCUUUCGUUUCGGGAGGUGUUACCUUCUCGUAGGAAUUAAACAUAUAUAUAUAUAUAUAUAUAAAUAUAUUAUGUGUUUUAAAUAUUGAAAUAAAAAUAAGGAGAUGUGGUACGAUUGCCAAUUAGACAACUAUCCACAAAAGUUCAAUUAAAUUGGAUGUAAGCAGUUAUAGGCAACCCUACAGUCUUCAACAAUGAGACAAACCCAUAUCGUAUGGUCGGCUGUAUAAGGCCCUGACAUGAAAAAUAUGAAACAAUUCCGUUGAUAUAUUACAUUUAGUUUCAUUAGCACAGAUACAUUGUUCAAAAUGUCAUGUAACAAAAAUUUCUUCAUUUACAAGUCAGGGGAAGUAUGCAGUCAUGUUGGGGCAAUUCUGUUCAAGGUGGAAAUGGUUGUAAAAAUUGGAAUCACACAAACUAACUCAACCAGUAAAGCUUCUCCGUGGAAUAACAGAUUUAGGAAAGCGGUAUAUUUUUACACAUCUAUUCAGGUUACUCCAACUACUGUCACAGACAUUUUCCAGCAUAUAAAGGGUAGACGGACAAAAGAUAUCGCAAGUAUUAAAGCCAAUGGAGCAGCACCUCUCACUCCCCAGGAAGUCCUAGAUGAACUGUAUGGUAUUGCACCUUACGCUGCCUUUGUUUACUUCAAUUAUGACACCAAGUAUAGAUAAUCCACCUGCCUCAAAUACAACUGAAUGCAAGUACCCUCCAUUGCUGUCAACACUUCAACAGACAGAUAACAACGACAUAAAUGGCCUUCGUGAUAAAACCAUAGAUUCGUAUACUGUUUCACAAUACUAGGCAGAAAAUUUAGAUGUAGCAACCAGAAAUCAAGCCAUCAGUUCCUUAUGGUAUCAACAGCAUCAAAAGCUCAUAAUGUGCUAGUUCGUAAAGCAACAACACCUGCAGCCAACCUUGUCAAAAGGAUAGCUGGUUAUUCGACAUAUGACCUUUAAAAAAACAGUCAGUCAAAUGGGGCGUAGACCACGAAGAUGAAUGUAGACAGGUAUACACAAAUCACCAAUAGAACCACCACCUAGACCUAAUAUGUUCUCCGUGUGGUUUCUAUAUACACACAAUUCAUUCCUAGGAGUCAGCCCUGAUGGCAUUGUGAACUGUAAGUCCUGUGGCAGAGGUACAAUAGAGGUCAAAUGUUCUUUUAAACGCUGAUAUAACUGUACCACAAGCUGCACAGAGUAACAAAAACUUCUGUCUCGACGAAAAUUUAACCCUGAAGACCAGCCACAGAUAUUUCACGCUAGUCCAGAUGCAGAUGUUCAUCACCAACUGCCAGUAUUGGGACUUUGUUGUGUAUACCAAAUGCCAGCAAGAAGCAAGCAUGGUAAUAGUGUGAGUCCCAAUUGAUCUAGACUUUUGCCACAAGUUGAUACAAAAGUGUGAGGACUUUUUUAAAACUUCGUUAUACGUGAACUUCUCAUCAGAUAACUUGAAAAUGAGCCAACAACAAACAACAAUGCUAAUGAGAAAUCAUGGUGUAUUUGGUGACUAAUGUCCUUAAGAAUGGUUUAGAUUCUUUAGAUGUAACUCGAAUAUCUUCGAGGUUUUUUGGUAUGCGGUAAGCCAUGACGGGAGGUGAUGGAAAAAUCUCUUUUAAGGACAACUCAGACAACAACUUAAAUCAAGAGGUUAUAAGAACAAAAACAUUUCAGACGCUUUCGGUAAAGCAAAAGAAAAAGACAGAACAAACCUACUUGAAUACAAAGAAAAGACGGCCCAGACAAAUAAAAUUCCGUUUGUUGUCAGCUUUCAUCCUGACCUGACAAAUCUUUCAUCUAUUGUCCACAAACACUGGCGUCUUAUUGAAAAUGAUCCUUCCUUUAAAAGAGAUUUUUCCAUCACCUCCCGUCAUGGCUUACCGCACACCCAAAAACCUCAAAGAUAUUCAAGUAACAUCUAAAGUAUCUUAACAAGAGACAUCGACAAUAGGGGGUUAUAAACCAUGCGGAAGAGGCAAUUGUAAGUGCUGCAUAGUCGCCAAUAUUGAAACCCAAUUAGUCAGCACAGUCACAAAAAAUAAAUACAACAUAUUUAUUACAUCCAAUUGCAAAACGCAAAACUGUAUUUAUGUUCUAACGUGUGGAACUUGCAAGUUGCAAUAUGUUGGUGAAACAGAAACACCAUUCAACAUCCGACUGAAUAACCAUCGGUCAUUUUAUACAAAGGAAAGAAACAGCCCAAUCACAAGACAUCUUUUAAGAAAAGGGCAUGAUUUUGAAAACGUCACAUUUCAAAUCAUUGAGAGAAACCAAAAUUGGGACAAGGAAGACAAAAGAGAGAUAGAUUUUGGAUGCACCAGUUACGGACUCAUGAACCUGAUGGACUCAAUGAGAGAAAUGAGAAAAGAUUUAAAAACAAUCAAAAUAAUAAUCUUGAAAUCAUACAAUUUAUAGAAUAUCAAUAAAUAUGUUAAACUUUUAUUCCAACUUUGUGUCAUUUAAGGAUGUAUUCUUCUGACGUUUCAGUCUCGUUGAAAACUCGUUCUGGAAUUAUUUCCAAAACAUGCGAUACAAGUGGAAAAUAUCAACGAAUUUUAAAAAUGUUAUAAUUAAACUCAACUCUGUGAAAAAAUUGUGUAUUUACAAUGAGUAGUUUUUGAGUAAUCAAUUUUUCAAAUUUUACGACCAAUCAAGUCAGUCUUUUUGGCCAAAAUUUUGAGAAAAUGGAUGAGGGGUACAAAAAUUGAUUUUACCAGAAACUUGUACAUCCCAUAUCACUUUUUUCUUUUCAAAUUUCUUAGAUAUGUAUUUUUUCAAUCAUUUAUAACAAAAAAAUUGAAAUAAUAUGCAUUUUGUUCUUAAAACUGAGAAAAAUCACAAAUUUACAAAAUUGACAGCAUGGUAAAUUUGAUACAAAAAAGCAUCAACAUAUGAUAAAAACUUUCUUAUAUUAACACCUACCCAUAGUUUUUUUUAGUUAAAUUUAUUCAAAUUGUUCCACUUCAUCUUUAUUGAAAGUAUGAAAAAAAGUUAAAUUGUGGAACUGUGAUUUUUUUUCACGAUAAUAGCCCAAAAAUAGGUAAAAAUUGAUGAAAAAUGAGAUAAUCAUCAAAAUUGGUACUUUCAAAGGGCCGUAGCAAAAAAAAAAGAAGUGCACCACCAUAAGAAUUUGUCUUCACCAAUUAUGUUUUUACAGUCAUAUAAACCCAAAAAUCAAGUUAAGAAAAAAAGUUUAAUUCUAGAAAAUUUUGGCUCCUCAGAGGUGUACAUCCUUAAGCUACAAAAAUAUUCUUUUGUCGUGCAUCCGAUUUCACCUUGAUAAAUGCACACGCCUGAUGAAGCUAGUUUGUCUAACAAAGUAUUGCGUAUAUCUAAUUAAAAUCUAAUAGAACUUUUUAAUGUAUCAAUUAGCGUGUUUAAGUUAUAUUCUUAGACAUUUAUAUAAUUUUAAUUCAGUAACUGUAUCAGUUUAUUUUCACAAGCUGAUCCACGCUUAAAUAGACUGGAUGUUGAUUGUUGCUAAUUUUAGACAUUAUAUAUAUAUAUAUAUAUAUGUAUUGAGAAAAUAGACAUACAUGUAACAAUUAAAAAUUGCAUUAUCAAUAGCUGGAUUGCACACUAAAAAAUGUAAGAAUUAUUGAAAAAUGAAAACUAUUUUAAUCAAUAUAACAUGUAUAACAACACAUAUCUAUAAUAAAGAAAAUUUGGAAAUAAUUUUGCUCAAAGUUUUUGAAUUUAAUAAGAAUACAGUUUGUUAAUAUGAACAUUUUCAUAUAUAUUUUGUAACUGGCAUUUUCUUUCAUGUAGAAUCAACAGAAGUUCUUGGUAAUGCACCAUUAAUGCAAAAUAUUAUGCUCAUGUUUGAAAACCAUAGACUUGUACAUUGUAUGACAUAAAUUAUUUUGUAAUACAUCAUUGUAUGAAAUAAAUUAUUU